GACGAACGCUGGCGGCGUGCUUAACACAUGCAAGUCGAACGGAAAGGCCCUGCUUUUGUGGGGUGCUCGAGUGGCGAACGGGUGAGUAACACGUGAGUAACCUGCCCUUGACUUUGGGAUAACUUCAGGAAACUGGGGCUAAUACCGGAUAGGAGCUCCUGCUGCAUGGUGGGGGUUGGAAAGUUUCGGCGGUUGGGGAUGGACUCGCGGCUUAUCAGCUUGUUGGUGGGGUAGUGGCUUACCAAGGCUUUGACGGGUAGCCGGCCUGAGAGGGUGACAGGCCACAUUGGGACUGAGAUACGGCCCAGACUCCUACGGGAGGCAGCAGUGGGGAAUAUUGCACAAUGGGCGGAAGCCUGAUGCAGCAACGCCGCGUGCGGGAUGACGGCCUUCGGGUUGUAAACCGCUUUCGCCUGUGACGAAGCGCGAGUGACGGUAAUGGGUAAAGAAGCACCGGCUAACUACGUG
RNAcentral lists this ribosomal RNA (468 nucleotides) under uncultured bacterium. RNAcentral's name for it is "partial 16S ribosomal RNA". It matches the Rfam family "Bacterial small subunit ribosomal RNA", at positions 28 to 507 of the family's 1533-position model. The record is from RNAcentral.